AAGACAAUGACGUAUCUGAUGGCACUGAGAUUUAGUCAUGAGUUUUAUUUGGAAAUGCUUUUGAAAGCUUUACUUGCCCUGUCUCAAUUCGCUCAUCUUACUGCACGUCUGGUUCUGAAGCAUGUAUCAAUUUGUGUGUCUUUGAUAAGUGCAAUUUUACUACAAUUGACACAGAUCGUUCUCUCACUGAUUUACAGCGUGAAGAACACCAUGCAGGGUUCUGCUCCUCCUUCCAAGCUUCCACCAUGGCCUAAGCCCAAGGCUGGUGGAAAUGUGAGAACCCAGGGCUUGGAGAAGAGCUGUCAGGUUGCCAUUCAGAUGAGCAGCUGCUUUGACAGACAGCAAAGGGGUGGAAGUAGAGGCUGAAGGGAUUGAAAGCAUAAGAAGGAAGCAACACACAUGGAUGUCUUCGUGGAUGGCGCUGCCCAUGAGUAAAGAAAUGUGGUGAUCUGCAGCAGCAGAGGGUGGCCUUGGCCAAUGACCACCAAGGAAACUAGACCUCAGUCCCACAGCAACAAGGACCUGGAUCCUCCUGCCAACCACAUGGAUGAGCUUGGAAGCAGCGUCUCCCUCAGAGCCUCCAGAUAAGAGGCCAGCCCAGCUGACACCUCAACCUGGGGCUUGUAAGACCCUAAGCAGAGAAUGCAGAUGAGUCUACCUGGACUUUCAACCUACAGAAUCAUGAGCUAAUAAAUGGAUGUCCUUCUAAGCUGCUAAAUUUGAGAUUCUUUGUUAUGUAGCAACAGAUAGUGAGUAGAACUUAGAACUUAACACUCCCCUUGGGCAAAGUAAUGAGACCCACACUUCUUUUAUGGUAUUUUGCAGGAGCUGUCACAAUAGUUGAAGUCAUAAAUGAGGGUUAAAUUAUAGAAAAGACUUGGAGUGAGGAGGGCACAAUGGCUGUUGUGGACAGGAUGGCAAUCCAUGUUGCACAUCACCGAUUGAUAUAGUUUGGCUGUGUCCCCACCCAAAUCUCCUCUUGAAUCCCCAGGUGUUGUGGGAGUGAGCUGGUGGGAGAUAAUUGAAUCAUGGGAGCAGGUUGUUUCCAUGCUGUGAAUAACUCUCAGGAGAUCUGGUGGUUUUAAAAAUGGGAGUUUCCCUGCACAAGCUCUCUUCUCUUGUCUGCUGCCAUGUAAAACAUGCCUUUCACUUUCUGCCAUGAUUGUCAGACCUCCCCAGUUCCACAGGACUGGGGAGGGAAGUCCAUUAAAACCACUUUUUCUUCCCAGUCUCAGGUGUGUCUUUAUCAGCAGCAUGAAAAUGGACUAAUAAAGUAAAUCAGUACCAGUAGAGUGUGACGCUGCUGAAAAGAUACCUGAAAGUGUGGAAGCAUCUUUGGAACUGGGUAAUUGGCAGAAGUUGGAGGGAGCACUUGGAGCUCAGAAGAAGACAGGAAGAUGUGGG
This 1404-nucleotide long non-coding RNA is filed under the name Callithrix jacchus (white-tufted-ear marmoset). RNAcentral describes it as "lncRNA (ENSCJAG00000061638.2)". The record is from RNAcentral. Lineage: Eukaryota; Metazoa; Chordata; Mammalia; Primates; Cebidae.